GUUCUUUAAGCAUGAGGGAUACUUGUUUCGGGAGAAUAAAUUAUGCGUUCCUAAUUGCUCUAUGCAUGAACUAGUGAUUAGGGAAGCACAUAGUGGGGGACUUAUGGGUCACUUUGGGGUAGCAAAUACUUUAGAUAUAUUGACCGAACAUUUCUAUUGGCCUAAAAUGAAUGUUGAUGUAGAAAGGGUUUGUAGUCGAUGCAUAAAAUGUAAAGAGGCCAAAUCUAGGGUCUCACCUCAUGGACUAUAUACACCUUUACCAGUACCUAAUGAACCUUGGGUAGAUAUUUCAAUCAAAUUUGUGUUAGGUUUGCCUAGGACCAAAAAGGGGGGAGAUUCAAUUUUUUUAGUCGUGGAUAGGUUUGGUAAAAUGACACAUUUCAUUUCAUGUCACAGAAUUGAUGAUGCCACUAACAUUGUAGAUUUUUUCUUUAAAGAAAUUGUGCGCUUGCAUGGGGUACCUAAAAGCAUAGUGUCAGAUAGGGAUGUUAAGUUCUUUAGUCACUUUUGGAUAGUCGUGUGGAGUAAGUUAGGCAUGAAACUACUAUUUUCUACAACCUGUCAUCUACAAAAAGAUGUCCAAACCGAAGUAGUGAAUAGGACUAUACACAAAACUUUUGUGCACUGUAGUUAAUAAGAAUUUGAAGAAUUGGGAAGAGUGCUUACCUUUCAUCGAAUCUGCAUAUAAUAGGGACACACUCCACUAUGUCAUUUUCUCCUUUUGAAAUUGUUUACGAUUUUAAUCCUAUAACACCUAUGGAUUUAAUACAUUUACCUGUUAAUGAACAAGGUAGCUUGGAUGGAAAAAGGAAGGCCGAGUUGGUGAAGUCACUCUAUGAAAAGGUGCGGGAGCAAAUUGAGAAGAAAAGCAAGCACUAUGCAGAGCAAGCAAAUAAGGACAGAAAAAUUAUCACAUUCGAACUAGGAGACUGGGUUUGGGCGCACUUUAGAAAAGAGCGGUUCCAGAGCAAAGAAAAUCAAAGUUGUUACCACGAGGAGAUGGACCAUUCCAAGUAGUUGAGAAGAUCAAUGACAACGCAUACAAAUUUGAUCUUCCAAGUAAGUAUAACAUUUCGGUAACUUUUAAUGUAUUUGAUCUUUCUUUCUUUGUUGCAGGUUCAGGUUUGAGAAUGAAUCCUUUCGAAGAGGGAGGGGAUGAUGUGAUCUAGGAGCCGCAAGCAACCAAAUCAAGUCCAAUGUCAAGCCCGGGGAAAGAUUCGUUGAAAGUCGAAGGUGGACCUGUGACAGAGUGAGGACAAAAUGAGUGAAAGAGGCGAUGGGACUACUCAUCAAGACAUCCAUUGAUGAAAUCAUGUUCGGGUCGAAGGCCGAAACCAAUUGGAUCAACACGAUACAAACAGCCGAAGAUGGAGCUGGAGAGAAGAACCAUGCGACCGCAUGGUUAAAAUCGUCUUGUAGUCGCACGGAGUGAGUAGGGAAUUAUUCGGGAUUUUCGAAUGUUCCAUGUGGGCACAUGACUUUACACCAUGCGACCGCAUGGUUAAAAUUUGACGCGUUUUUUUUAAAUUUUUUUUGCGAAUUUCCUAUUUUUGAUAGAAUUUGAUGCUUAUUAGAUUUCUUACCAUAUUUGAAAUAUUAGGCACAUUUUUACCUAGUUUUUUAGACCUAGUAUAAAUACUAUUUUAUUUUCAAUUGUAAGAACCUUUUUGACAUUAUUUGUAAUUUGAGAGGCUAUAUUGCUUUCAACUCUUGUUCUACAAUUGAACAAUUCAAGAACAUAUCAAGAUUUAAUCUUGUGGCUUUCAAAUAAACCAGGUGAGAUUUCGUAUUUUUGAGUAAUCAAGAGGUCCGUACAUCAUCGGCAAUUUAGGUUGCUUGGUUCCAGAUCUAUUGAAUUUAAUCCAAAAACCUUUCUUUGGCUUUCUUGGGAAGAUUUCAAUCUUGUUCAUGGAUUUCAUAGCGUUUGCCUACGUGGGUUCACAUCAGAAAGACCCUGUGAAGCUUCGCUGUUCCAUAGGAUUGGGUUUAGGCCUUUCUUAUGCAUCUUAGGUGGGACGCGAAGAAAGCCUCCUUCUGGGGGGAGGGGCCCAAGCCAUCAGUGAGAUACCACUCUGGAAAAGUUAGAAUUCUAACCUUGUGUCAGGACCUACGGGCUAAGGGACAGUCUCAGGUAGACAAUUUCUAUGGGAUGUAGGCCUCCUAAAAGGUAAUGAAGACGUGCAAAGGUUUCCUUGGGCCGGAUAGAGAUUGGUCCUCGAGUGCAAAGACAGAAGGGAGCUUGACUGCAAGACCCACCUGUCAAGCACGGAUGAAAGUCUUCCUUAGUUAUCUGACAGUGCCAAGUGGAAGGGCCAUGCUCAACGGAUAAAAGUUACUCUAGGGAUAACAGGCUGAUCUUCCCAAGAGCUCAAAUUGACAGGAAGGUUUGGCACCUCGAUGUCGGCUCUUCGCCACCUGGGGCUGUAGUAUGUUCCAAGAAUUGGGUUGUUCGCCCAUUAACGUGGUACGUAAGCUGGGUUCAGAAUGUCGUGAGGUGGUUCGCUCUAUAUUUGAUGUGGGCAUUAGAGCAUUGAGAGGACCUUUCCCUAGUACGAGAGGACCGGGAAGGACGUACCUCUGGUGUACCAGUUAUUGUGUCCACAGUAAACGCUGGGUAGCCAAGUGCGUAGCGGAUAACUACUGAAAGCAUCUAAGUAGUAAGCCCACCCCAAGAUGAGUGCUCUCCUAUUCUGACUUUCCUAGAGCUUCCAAUAGCACAGUCGAGCCAGCGACAGGUUCUCUGUCUCUGCGGGGAUGGAGCGACAGAAGUUUUGAGAAUUCAAGAGAAGAUCACAAAGAGACAAGCCGUUUAUCAUUACAAUAUGUGUCAAGUGGAAGUGUAGUAAUGUAUGCAGCUGAGGCAUCCUAAUAGACCGAUAGACUUGAAC
RNAcentral lists this ribosomal RNA (2888 nucleotides) under Olea europaea var. sylvestris. RNAcentral's name for it is "bacterial LSU rRNA". The stretch from base 1919 to 2877 matches the Rfam family "Bacterial large subunit ribosomal RNA", at positions 2048 to 2912 of the family's 2925-position model. The record is from RNAcentral. Lineage: Eukaryota; Viridiplantae; Streptophyta; Magnoliopsida; Lamiales; Oleaceae.